CCCUUUUUACAGAAUUUAAUACUGUCUGAAAUAUACUUGUUUGUGGUGUCCUGCCACUAAAUCCCGGAGGGAAGGGAUUUUUGUCUGUUUUGCUCCCCAUCAUCUAAAACAGUACUUGGCACAAGAGGUUCAACAAGUCGUUGAAUUAAUGAAUAGUGGACAUGAACUUGACAAAACAGGUUCCCUACCUCAAGAGGCAUGGCCGCAGUGAGGAGACGUUAAAAGAAUUAAAAUAAAACUGUAUAUGUUUAGUGGGAACACAGGAGCCUUUAAAUUAGCUCAGAGGAUUUACAUAAAAACAUGCGAUAAAAUAGGGUUACAACUCAGAUCUUUGGACUCUCGUGCUGAUGCCCUUUCCAGUAUACCAUAAUGCUUGUUUUCUAUAAUUGAAAGACUACAUGGAUUGAAAACACUUUAUGUAUCAGCUGUCUUAGCCCAUUGUUGGAACAAGGCAAGGUAGACAUAAAAUCUGCAUAUCCUCACCGUUUGAAUCUCUUUUACCUUGCCAAUGAUGUCAUACAGAACUGUAAAAGGAAAAAUGCAAUCAUAUUCCGUGAAUCAUUUGCUGAUGUACUUCCUGAAGCAGCUGCUCUAGUGAAGGAUCCAUCUGUCUCUAAGUCUGUAGAACGAAUCUUUAAAAUCUGGGAAGAUAGAAAUGUAUACCCAGAAGAAAUGAUUGUGGCAUUGAGAGAAGCUUUGACAUCUACAAAUCCAAAAGCUGCUCUCAAGUCUAAGAUAGUUGCUGAAUUUCGAUCUCAGGCCCUAAUUGAAGAGCUGUUGCUAUACAAGCGCUCAGAAGAUCAGAUAGAACUGAAGGAAAAGCAGUUGUCAACUAUGAGGGUGGAUGUGUGCAGCACAGAAACUCUCAAAUGCUUAAAAGAUAAAACAGGUGGGAAGAAGUUCUCCAAAGAAUUUGAAGAGGCAAGCUCCAAGCUGGAAGAAUUUGUGAAUGGAUUAGAUAAGCAGGUGAAAAAUGGACCCUCAUUAACAGAAGCACUGGAAAAUGCUGGAAUUUUCUAUGAAGCACAAUACAAAGAAGUAAAAGUGGUGGCCAAUGCAUAUAAAACCUUUGCUAACCGAGUAAACAAUUUAAAGAAGAAGUUGGAUCAAUUGAAGUCAACCCUUCCAGAUCCUGAAGAAUCACCAGUUCCUUCCCCAAGCAUGGACGCUCCCUCCCCGACUGGUUCUGAGUCUCCUUUUCAGGGAAUGGGAGGUGAGGAAUCCCAGUCACCAACCAUGGAGAGUGAGAAAUCUGCCACACCUGAACCUGUGACAGAUAAUCGUGAUGUGGAAGACAUGGAACUCUCAGAUGUGGAAGAUGAUGGGUCAAAAAUCAUUGUCGAGGACAGGAAGGAAAAACCUGCAGAGAAGUCAGCUGUAUCCACUUCCGUACCUACAAAGCCAACAGAAAAUAUCUCAAAGGCCUCUUCAUGUACCCCAGUGCCUGUGACCAUGACAGCAACUCCACCUCUUCCAAAGCCUGUGAAUACUUCUCUUUCCCCUUCCCCAGCGUUGGCUUUGCCAAACCUGGCUAAUGUGGAUCUGGCAAAGAUCAGUUCCAUCCUUAGCAGUUUAACGUCAGUCAUGAAAAAUACUGGGGUCAGUCCUGCAUCAAGACCUUCUCCAGGAACUCCCACCAGCCCCAGCAACCUCACCAGUGGCCUGAAAACACCUGCACCUGCCACGACAACAUCUCACAACCCUCUGGCAAAUAUCCUCUCCAAGGUGGAGAUCACCCCAGAGAGCAUUCUGUCUGCACUUUCCAAAACCCAGACACAGUCAGCCCCUGCACUGCAAGGCCUGUCAUCUUUACUUCAGAGUGUUACUGGGAACCCAGUUCCAGCCAGUGAAGCUGCCUCACAGAGCACUUCAGCCUCCCCUGCCAACACCACAGUCUCUACCAUAAAGGGAAGAAAUCUGCCCUCCAGUGCCCAACCUUUUAUUCCCAAAAGCUUCAGCUAUUCUCCUAACUCAUCAACUUCUGAAGUCUCUUCAACUUCAGCCAGCAAGGCCUCAAUUGCGCAAAGCCCAGGGCUCCCAAGCACUACUUUUAAACUACCUUCCAACACUUUGGGGUUUACAGCUACCCACAAUACUAGCCCUGCUGCCCCACCUACUGAAGUUACCAUGUGCCAAUCUUCAGAGGUCUCCAAGCCAAAGCUGGAGUCAGAGUCCACCUCCCCAAGCCUGGAAAUGAAGAUCCACAACUUCUUAAAAGGUAAUCCUGGUUUCAGUGGCUUAAACUUAAACAUCCCAAUCCUGAGCAGUUUGGGGUCCAGCGCCCCAUCAGAGAGCCAUCCCUCAGACUUCCAGCGUGGCCCUACUAGCACCUCAAUCGACAACAUUGAUGGAACCCCUGUACGGGAUGAACGGAGUGGGACACCCACCCAGGAUGAGAUGAUGGACAAGCCCACAUCCAGCAGUGUAGAUACUAUGUCCCUGCUUUCUAAGAUCAUUAGCCCUGGUUCGUCAACACCCAGCAGUACAAGAUCACCACCCCCUGGGAGAGAUGAAAGCUACCCCCGAGAGCUCUCCAAUUCUGUAUCUACAUAUCGACCCUUUGGUCUGGGCAGUGAAUCUCCCUAUAAGCAGCCUUCUGAUGGAAUGGAGAGACCAUCUUCCCUGAUGGACUCUUCACAGGAAAAGUUCUACCCAGAUACUUCUUUCCAAGAGGAUGAGGAUUACCGAGAUUUUGAGUAUUCAGGGCCUCCACCCUCUGCCAUGAUGAACCUAGAGAAGAAACCAGCCAAAUCUAUCCUGAAAUCAAGCAAGCUGUCUGAUACCACCGAGUACCAGCCAAUUCUGUCCAGUUAUAGCCACAGAGCCCAAGAAUUUGGGGUAAAGUCUGCCUUCCCUCCAUCUGUAAGGGCCCUCCUGGACUCUAGUGAGAACUGUGACCAUCUCUCAUCUUCCCCUGGGCUAUUUGGUGCCUUCAGCGUAAGAGGGAAUGAACCUGGGUCUGACCGGUCACCAUCACCGAGUAAGAAUGAUUCAUUUUUCACCCCUGACUCCAACCACAAUAGCUUGUCUCAAUCUACCACUGGCCAUCUCAGUUUGCCACAGAAGCAGUACCCAGACUCUCCUCACCCAGUCCCACAUCGUUCCCUUUUCUCUCCGCAGAACACCCUUGCCGCUCCCACGGGUCACCCACCCACAUCAGGCGUGGAGAAAGUCCUGGCCUCCACCAUUUCCACCACGUCGACGAUUGAAUUUAAGAAUAUGCUUAAAAACGCCUCACGUAAGCCCUCAGAUGAUAAGCAUUUUGGCCAGGCCCCCAGCAAGGGCACUCCAAGUGAUGGUGUCAGUCUCUCAAACCUCACCCAACCCAGCUUGACCGCCACUGAUCAGCAGCAACAAGAAGAGCACUACCGCAUAGAAACCCGCGUCUCCUCCUCCUGCUUAGACUUGCCUGAUAGCACAGAAGAAAAGGGGGCCCCUAUAGAAACCUUGGGUUAUCACAAUGCAUCCAAUAGGAGGAUGUCAGGGGAGCCGAUCCAGACCGUAGAGUCCAUCCGAGUUCCUGGGAAGGGAAAUAGAGGACAUGGGCGUGAGGCUUCAAGGGUGGGUUGGUUUGAUCUGAGCACAUCAGGUAGCUCUUUUGACAAUGGCCCUUCAAGUGCCUCUGAGUUGGCAUCCCUUGGGGGUGGGGGCAGCGGAGGCCUCACUGGCUUUAAAACAGCACCAUACAAGGAACGGGCACCUCAAUUUCAGGAGAGUGUUGGCAGCUUUCGUUCCAACAGUUUCAACUCAACAUUUGAGCAUCAUCUUCCCCCAUCCCCCUUGGAACAUGGGACACCCUUCCAGAGAGAGCCAGUGGGGCCAUCAUCUGCCCCACCUGUCCCUCCUAAGGAUCAUGGUGGUAUCUUCUCUCGAGAUGCACCCACUCAUCUAUCCUCUGUGGAUCUUUCGAACCCCUUCACAAAGGAGGCAGCCCUGGCCCAUGCUGCCCCACCCCCUCCUCCCGGAGAGCACAGUGGAAUUCCUUUCCCUACCCCACCUCCUCCUCCCCCUCCUGGGGAACAUAGCAGCAGUGGUGGGAGUGGUGUCCCCUUUUCUACUCCACCCCCUCCUCCACCCCCUGUUGACCACUCUGGAGUUGUACCCUUCCCAACCCCACCACUGGCUGAGCACGGAGUGGCAGGGGCUGUGGCAGUAUUUCCCAAGGACCAUAGUUCCCUCCUUCAAGGGACCCUGGCUGAGCAUUUUGGGGUACUCCCAGGACCCAGGGACCACGGGGGCCCCACCCAACGGGACCUCAACGGCCCUGGCCUUAGCCGUGUACGAGAGAGCCUGACCCUACCCUCCCAUUCUCUGGAACACCUGGGCCCACCCCAUGGAGGAGGAGGUGGGGGAGGCAGCAACAGCAGCAGUGGCCCCCCCUUGGGUCCCUCACACAGAGACACCAUCAGCCGGAGUGGUAUGAUCUUACGGAGUCCCCGGCCAGACUUUCGGCCUAGGGAACCUUUUCUCAGCAGAGACCCGUUUCACAGUUUAAAGAGACCCAGGCCACCUUUUGCUAGGGGCCCUCCGUUCUUUGCACCAAAACGCCCAUUCUUCCCUCCCAGGUACUGAUGGAAACCAAGGGAAAGGCAUUUUGAACAGUCUAGAGAACAUGGAAGUAGGAGUUUGGUUUAUUGUUGUUUUUAUUUGUUUUCUCUUUCUCGAUUUUUUUUUUUUAUUAUAACAAAGGGCCUCUCUUCCAAAGUAAGAAAUCACAUAUGCUUACGUUUUACUAUUCAAUUCAAUCCUCCCUCCCAUUGCACUUAUCUACCUUCCCCAAGUUGUUUGUAUU
Molecule: small RNA, 4792 nt
Filed under: Pongo abelii (Sumatran orangutan)
Lineage: Eukaryota; Metazoa; Chordata; Mammalia; Primates; Hominidae
Description: processed transcript
Source: RNAcentral